CAGUCCCUGCAGAGGACUCUGGAGUUGUGGUUGCGGGGUCCUACCCCGCAGGGGGCAGGUGGGCGUGGCGGGGAGAGGCAGUAGAGUCCCUCAAGGUCAGCUCUGACCUGUCCCCGAGGUGUUCCCGGCCCCAGCAACUGCUCAGUUAUUUGUUGAAUACUGACGGUCGAUAGAAAUCACCUGGACUGGGGAAGGCUGACCCCAGAUGCGCCUACUGGGGAAUGUGCUGGAAAGAUACGCCCCCUGGAGGGAGUGCGCCCAGGGAGUGGGGAGGAGCGUUUGAGAUCGAAGGAGUGGCCGCGUAAAGGCCCUGAGGUCUCGCAAGGAAGGGUCCUGGGGUUUCCCAGGCCCUGUUGUAGGUGCAAGAAACAGGAACCUCCUAGAGCGAGCAUGCGGUGGGGAGGCAGUGGGUAUGCCUCCUAGAUGAAGACGAAAUCCAUGCAUUAGGGAGUGAGGCCUGCUGGGGACAAAAGUCUGGCAGGCAGGGCCCGAGGAGGGUCGGGGCAGGAGAGGGUUUGCAGUCAUCGGAAACGGGGCGGCCUGGAAAACCCUCACUGAGAAGGUGCCAAGUAAGCAAAGACCCGAAGGAGACCCGGUUUCCACCGAGGCCCCGCCCUCCCCAGCGCUGUCUCCGCCCCUUGCAUAGGAGGCCACAUCUCCUACAUCUAGAUAUGCAGAGAGCAUGUCAACGCACAGGAGCUGCAGCGCCCCAUUUAACCACCAAGAGGCGCUCCAGGGCCGCUGGUAAAAAUCGUGCGGGAAGAGAUGGCUGGAGGCCAGGAGUUCAAGACCGGCCUGAGCAAAAUAGUGACCCACUCUCAACCCCCGCUCCCCGCCUCUCGUCUAUACAACAAUAAAUACAAAUAAAUAAAUAAAAUAAACAAAUAAAUAUUAAA
Non-coding RNA from Macaca mulatta (Rhesus monkey), 896 nucleotides. NCBI's taxonomy places the organism in Eukaryota, Metazoa, Chordata, Mammalia, Primates, Cercopithecidae. The record is from RefSeq and is a predicted model, not a curated record.